CCUACGGGUGGCAGCAGUAGGGAAUCUUCCACAAUGGGCGAAAGCCUGAUGCAGCAACGCCGCGUGGGUGAAGAAGGUCUUCGGAUCGUAAAACCCUGUUGUUAGAGAAGAAAGUGCGUGCGAGUAACUGUUCACGUUUCGACGGUAUCUAACCAGAAAGCCACGGCUAACUACGUGCCAGCAGCCGCGGUAAUACGUAGGUGGCAAGCGUUAUCCGGUUUUAUUGGGCGUAAAGGGAACGCAGGCGGUCUUUUAAGUCGGAUGUGAAAGCCUUCGGCUUAACCGGAGUAGUGCAUUGGAAACUGGGAGACUUGAGUGCAGAAGAGGAGAGUGGAACUCCAUGUGUAGCGGUGAAAUGCGUAGAUAUAUGGAAGAACACCAGUGGCGAAAGCGGCUCUCUGGUCUGUAACUGACGCUGAGGUUCGAAAGCGUGGGUAGCAAACAGGAUUAGAUACCCCUGUAGUC
RNAcentral lists this ribosomal RNA (465 nucleotides) under uncultured bacterium. RNAcentral's name for it is "partial 16S ribosomal RNA". It matches the Rfam family "Bacterial small subunit ribosomal RNA", at positions 338 to 795 of the family's 1533-position model. The record is from RNAcentral.